Molecule: ribosomal RNA, 276 nt
Filed under: uncultured prokaryote
Description: partial 16S ribosomal RNA
Rfam family: Bacterial small subunit ribosomal RNA
Source: RNAcentral
UACGUAGGGGCUAGCGUUAUCCGGAAUUACUGGGCGUAAAGGGUGCGUAGGUGGUUUCUUAAGUCAGAGGUGAAAGGCUACGGCUCAACCGUAGUAAGCCUUUGAAACUGGGAAACUUGAGUGCAGGAGAGGAGAGUGGAAUUCCUAGUGUAGCGGUGAAAUGCGUAGAGAUUAGGAAGAACACCAGUGGCGAAGGCGAUUCUCUGGGCUGUAACUGACGCUGAGGCUCGAAAGCGUGGGGAGCAAACAGGAUUAGAUACCCGCGUAGUCCCUGAG